UACGGAGGGUGCAAGCGUUAUCCGGAUUCACUGGGUUUAAAGGGUGCGUAGGCGGGUAAGUAAGUCCGUGGUGAAAUCUCUGAGCUUAACUCAGAAACUGCCGUGGAUACUAUUUGCCUUGAAUAUUGUGGAGGUGAGCGGAAUAUGUCAUGUAGCGGUGAAAUGCUUAGAGAUGACAUAGAACACCUAUUGCGAAGGCAGCUUACUACGCCUAUAUUGACGCUGAGACGCGAAAGCGUGGGGAGCAAACAGG
This 253-nucleotide ribosomal RNA is filed under the name uncultured bacterium. RNAcentral's name for it is "partial 16S ribosomal RNA". It matches the Rfam family "Bacterial small subunit ribosomal RNA", at positions 524 to 776 of the family's 1533-position model. The record is from RNAcentral.